UACAGAGGUCUCAAGCGUUGUUCGGAAUCACUGGGCGUAAAGGGUGCGUAGGCCGCACGGUAAGUCAGAUGUGAAAUCUCAGGGCUCAACUCUGAAAUUGCAUCCGAUACUGCCGUGCUUGAGGACUGGAGAGGAGUCUGGAAUUCAUGGUGGAGCAGUGAAAUGCGUAGAUAUCAUGAGGAACGCUAGUGGCGUAGGCGAGACUCUGGACAGUUCCUGACGCUGAGGCACGAAGGCCAGGGGAGCAAACGGG
Molecule: ribosomal RNA, 253 nt
Filed under: uncultured bacterium
Lineage: Bacteria
Description: partial 16S ribosomal RNA
Rfam family: Bacterial small subunit ribosomal RNA
Source: RNAcentral